Molecule: long non-coding RNA, 1322 nt
Filed under: Lathyrus oleraceus (garden pea)
Lineage: Eukaryota; Viridiplantae; Streptophyta; Magnoliopsida; Fabales; Fabaceae
Description: Pisum sativum (pea) long non-coding RNA (PSAT_LNC019214)
Source: RNAcentral
AUAUUGAUGUCGAGUUUAUCCAUAACUUGAUGGUCAUGAAUUUACCGCUACACAUAAUAUCAUUCAAAGCAUAUAAUGUUGACAUGUAACAGUUCAAGCUGCAACAUACAUCAUGUAGCAGGCCAGGCAUAACAGGGCAUCAAAUCGGGUUCCACACAUCAGUUGCAUACAUGACAUGUGCAAAUCAGGGCAUCAUACCUAACAAUUCAUAAUAGGCAACAAUAAUACAACAUUAAAGCAGCAGUAGUAGCAUGUGCAUAACAAAAUUCACAAUGGCAAUACCUAGCUAACAUCAUACAUUAAUAAGGAAAGUCAUCAUGUAGCAGUUAUUAGUUACACACAUCAAUAGCAGCCAUAUAACAUAGGCAUCUAGCAGCAGUUUAUACCUUCAUGACCAAGCUAGGCAAUGCACAACAUUUAACAAAACUUGAUACCAAUCACAUCCAAAUCUAACUAACAGUUAACACUAACAGAGUUUAACAACUAACUUUUUCCAACUAAUUGGUUCAUUUCAAACUAACUGAAUUGAAUCUCUAACCAACUUUCAAUUCACUUCUAACUAACUCUAAUAUUGUUACCUAAUUUCUAACUAACCUUGAAUCAAUCUAACUAACUAAAUUAAUAGAGUUUUUCAUCUAUUAACUUCCAUCUCCUAUAAAUAGUUCAUCACCUUGAAAAAUCAUUUUUCACCUUCGAUUUUCCCAUGAACUCGAUUCAACCUUGCUUUCUCUCAAUCUCAUCACACCUUUACACCACACCUCAAUCACCUUCCAUUGAUCCAUUCAUUCACUCUCAGAGAACAAAGAAGAAGAAGAAGUUUCGAAGCUUAGAAGAAGAAAGAAAGAGAUUGAAGCAGAAGAAGAAUUGUAAAGUGAAGAAUAAUACCUGAAGCUUAUUCAAACAUCGACGUUUUCUUCGAUCUCAACCAUUUUCUCCGGCAGGUAAGGUUGAUUUCUUCACCAUUUGUUGUGUGCUAGUUACCACUAUGUAGAGUAAGGGUUGAGGAAUCAAAUCCCCAACAUCAGGGACUUUGAUUCCUCCAAUCAAUAAUUUAAUUUUGAUUCUCGUGGCUAGGGUUCUUGAGGAUUCUUGCACGAUUUGGAAAAUUAUUGAGGUUUCAGAUGAUUUUAGUGUGAGAUUCAGUUAGGACUUGAAAUUUAGAGUGAUCUGGCAUUUUAAUUUUUGAUGUUUACUGCUCAACUGCCGCCAGUAGUGAGCUUCAAUGCGGCGGAGAGGGAGAGUUAGUGAUGAAUGUUUGAACAGUUUGAACAACACAUGGGAAACGUUUAUCACGUUUAUCACGUGCGUAUUUUGGAUUUGAG